This 497-nucleotide ribosomal RNA is filed under the name uncultured bacterium. RNAcentral's name for it is "partial 16S ribosomal RNA". It matches the Rfam family "Bacterial small subunit ribosomal RNA", at positions 28 to 507 of the family's 1533-position model. The record is from RNAcentral.
GACGAACGCUGGCGGCGUGCCUAAUACAUGCAAGUUGAGCGCUGAAGGUUGGUACUUGUACCAACUGGAUGAGCAGCGAACGGGUGAGUAUCGCGUGGGGAAUCUGCCUUUGAGCGGGGGACAACAUUUGGAAACGAAUGCUAAUACCGCAUAAAAACUUUAAACACAAGUUUUAAGUUUGAAAGAUGCAAUUGCAUCACUCAAAGAUGAUCCCGCGUUGUAUUAGCUAGUUGGUGAGGUAAAGGCUCACCAAGGCGAUGAUACAUAGCCGACCUGAGAGGGUGAUCGGCCACAUUGGGACUGAGACACGGCCCAAACUCCUACGGGAGGCAGCAGUAGGGAAUCUUCGGCAAUGGACGAAAGUCUGACCGAGCAACGCCGCGUGAGUGAAGAAGGGUUUCGGAUCGUAAAACUCUGUUGGUAGAGAAGAACGUUGGUGAGAGUGGAAAGCUCAUCAAGUGACGGUAACUACCCAGAAAGGGACGGCUAACUACGUG